This 253-nucleotide ribosomal RNA is filed under the name uncultured bacterium. RNAcentral describes it as "partial 16S ribosomal RNA". It matches the Rfam family "Bacterial small subunit ribosomal RNA", at positions 524 to 776 of the family's 1533-position model. The record is from RNAcentral.
AACGUAGGGUGCAAGCGUUGGCCGGAUUUAUUGGGUAUAAAGGGUGCGUAGGUGGCUUUUUAAGUCAUGGGUGAAAGCACGCAGCUCAACUGUGGAAUUGCCUGUGAUACUGAGGAGCUUGAGUGCGGUGGAGGCAGCUGGAAUUGGUGGUGUAGCGGUGAAAUGCAUAGAUACCACCAGGAACACCGAUUGCGAAGGCAGUUUUCUAAGCCGUAACUGACACUGAGGCACGAAAGCGUGGGGAGCAAACAGG